GAGAUGCCAAGGGUGCUGGGAUUUAGGGGUGGACAUGUUCAGGAGAUCUGAAGAGCGUAAAACAUCAACGGGACCUGUGGCCAAAUUGGACACGUUAGGUGGACUCUGAUCCUUCUGAGGUCUUGGACUGCAUUAGCCAACCUGGGGAUGCCCCGGAGCCUUUAACUCGUUACCACCCCUUGCAAGUUCACCUCACCACACGCGACUAUGUGAAGCCCCAAGCUGAGGCUGCCAGCAGCUGUGCCACUCCAUAAGCUGCAAAGGGAGAUUUUGGCCACAAGGAGGACCGAGCAGAGACCUGAAGAUGAAAACACGGGUCUCCAUGAAGAGUGUGC
Prionailurus viverrinus (fishing cat) is the source of this 335-nucleotide long non-coding RNA. RefSeq lists it as uncharacterized. Lineage: Eukaryota; Metazoa; Chordata; Mammalia; Carnivora; Felidae. The transcript has 3 exons. The record is from RefSeq and is a predicted model, not a curated record.